GACGAACGCUGGCGGCGUGCUUAACACAUGCAAGUCGAACGGAAAGGCCCUGCUUUUGUGGGGUGCUCGAGUGGCGAACGGGUGAGUAACACGUGAGUAACCUGCCCUUGACUUUGGGAUAACUUCAGGAAACUGGGGCUAAUACCGGAUAGGAGCUCCUGCUGCAUGGUGGGGGUUGGAAAGUUUCGGCGGUUGUGGAUGGACUCGCGGCUUAUCAGCUUGUUGGUGGGGUAGUGGAUUACCAAGGCUUUGACGGGUAGCCGGCAUGAGGGGGUGACCGGCCACAUUGGUACUGAGAUACGGCCCAGACUCCUACGGGAGGCAGCAGUGGGAAAUAUUGCACAGUGGGCGGAAGCCUGAUGCGGCAGCGCCGCGUGCGGGAUGACGGCCUUCUGGGUAAAAACCGCUGUCGCCUGUGACGAAGCGUGAGUGACGGUAAUGGGUAAAGAAGCACCGGCUAACUACGUG
Molecule: ribosomal RNA, 468 nt
Filed under: uncultured bacterium
Lineage: Bacteria
Description: partial 16S ribosomal RNA
Rfam family: Bacterial small subunit ribosomal RNA
Source: RNAcentral